Molecule: ribosomal RNA, 614 nt
Filed under: Enterobacter hormaechei
Lineage: Bacteria; Pseudomonadati; Pseudomonadota; Gammaproteobacteria; Enterobacterales; Enterobacteriaceae
Description: bacterial SSU rRNA
Rfam family: Bacterial small subunit ribosomal RNA
Source: RNAcentral
GCGUAAGCGCACGCAGGCGGUCUGUCAAGUCGGAUGUGAAAUCCCCGGGCUCAACCUGGGAACUGCAUUCGAAACUGGCAGGCUAGAGUCUUGUAGAGGGGGGUAGAAUUCCAGGUGUAGCGGUGAAAUGCGUAGAGAUCUGGAGGAAUACCGGUGGCGAAGGCGGCCCCCUGGACAAAGACUGACGCUCAGGUGCGAAAGCGUGGGGAGCAAACAGGAUUAGAUACCCUGGUAGUCCACGCCGUAAACGAUGUCGACUUGGAGGUUGUGCCCUUGAGGCGUGGCUUCCGGAGCUAACGCGUUAAGUCGACCGCCUGGGGAGUACGGCCGCAAGGUUAAAACUCAAAUGAAUUGACGGGGGCCCGCACAAGCGGUGGAGCAUGUGGUUUAAUUCGAUGCAACGCGAAGAACCUUACCUACUCUUGACAUCCAGAGAACUUUCCAGAGAUGCAUUGGUGCCUUCGGGAACUCUGAGACAGGUGCUGCAUGGCUGUCGUCAGCUCGUGUUGUGAAAUGUUGGGUUAAGUCCCGCAACGAGCGCAACCCUUAUCCUUUGUUGCCAGCGGUUAGGCCGGGAACUCACAGGAGACUGCCAGUGAUAAACUGGAGGAAGG